Molecule: ribosomal RNA, 488 nt
Filed under: uncultured Pseudomonadota bacterium
Lineage: Bacteria; Pseudomonadati; Pseudomonadota
Description: bacterial SSU rRNA
Rfam family: Bacterial small subunit ribosomal RNA
Source: RNAcentral
GAGCGGCCGAUGUCCGAUUAGCUUGUUGGUGGGGUAACGGCUCACCAAGGCGACGAUCGGUAGCUGGUCUGAGAGGAUGAUCAGCCACACUGGGACUGAGACACGGCCCAGACUCCUACGGGAGGCAGCAGUGGGGAAUUUUGGACAAUGGGGGAAACCCUGAUCCAGCCAUGCCGCGUGAGUGAAGAAGGCCUUCGGGUUGUAAAGCUCUUUUGGCCGGAAAGAAAAGAUCACGGAUAACACCCGUGGUUCUUGACGGUACCGGCAGAAUAAGCACCGGCUAACUACGUGCCAGCAGCCGCGGUAAUACGUAGGGUGCGAGCGUUAAUCGGAAUUACUGGGCGUAAAGCGUGCGUAGGCGGUCCCGCAAGUCCGCUGUGAAAGCCCCGGGCUUAACCUGGGAAUGGCAGUGGAAACUAUGGGACUUGAAUCUGGCAGAGGGGGGUGGAAUGCCACGUGUAGCAGUGAAAUGCGUAGAGAUGUGGCGG